Molecule: long non-coding RNA, 313 nt
Filed under: Nicotiana benthamiana
Lineage: Eukaryota; Viridiplantae; Streptophyta; Magnoliopsida; Solanales; Solanaceae
Description: long non-coding RNA (NBEN_LNC015750)
Source: RNAcentral
UCCGACCACCCUACUGCCUCCUCUCCGUCACUACUCCAACCACCCUCCCCAAGCACACAUCCCCACAACCUUCUUCCUCACCUCCUCACGUCCACCCUCCAGCCCGCAUCACACGAACAGCUCGUCCAUGAACGACCAGCAUCGACCUUCAACCACCCCAAACACCAAACGACGCUCUUCUUCAGCGUCUUCCAUGGCUGCUCAUCGAUGUCCAACGCCAACAACAACCGUUCUUCUUCGUCCAAAUGACCACCACCCCACUACCAUCUUCAUUCUUCACCUUCAACGUCCAACGCCACCAACAGAACCAACA